RNAcentral lists this ribosomal RNA (253 nucleotides) under uncultured bacterium. RNAcentral describes it as "partial 16S ribosomal RNA". It matches the Rfam family "Bacterial small subunit ribosomal RNA", at positions 524 to 776 of the family's 1533-position model. The record is from RNAcentral.
UACAGAGGGUGCGAGCGUUGUCCGGAAUCACUGGGCGUAGAGGGCGCGUAGGCGGCCCGGUAAGGUUGCGGUGAAAGCCCGGGGCUCAACCCCGGGUCGGCCGUGGCAACUGCUGGGCUGGAGCACAGUAGAGGCGGGUGGAAUUCCGGGUGUAGCGGUGGAAUGCGUAGAGAUCCGGAAGAACACCAGUGGCGAAGGCGGCCCGCUGGGCAGUGGCUGACGCUGAGGCGCGACAGCGUGGGGAGCAAACAGG